This 245-nucleotide ribosomal RNA is filed under the name Escherichia coli. RNAcentral describes it as "partial 16S ribosomal RNA". It matches the Rfam family "Bacterial small subunit ribosomal RNA", at positions 1288 to 1533 of the family's 1533-position model. RNAcentral also lists the same sequence under 4 other names. Lineage: Bacteria; Pseudomonadati; Pseudomonadota; Gammaproteobacteria; Enterobacterales; Enterobacteriaceae. The record is from RNAcentral.
UAGUCCGGAUUGGAGUCUGCAACUCGACUCCAUGAAGUCGGAAUCGCUAGUAAUCGUGGAUCAGAAUGCCACGGUGAAUACGUUCCCGGGCCUUGUACACACCGCCCGUCACACCAUGGGAGUGGGUUGCAAAAGAAGUAGGUAGCUUAACCUUCGGGAGGGCGCUUACCACUUUGUGAUUCAUGACUGGGGUGAAGUCGUAACAAGGUAACCGUAGGGGAACCUGCGGUUGGAUCACCUCCUUA